UGGGUACCUGCCUCCCAGUGAGGAAUACCGGCGAGAAAUCGCCGACAAGACCGCAUAGCCUCUCUUCCGUAAGGGGAGAGAGGAAAGCCUUUCGCAAGAGUGGCGCUGGGAGAGGGGCCUGUGGCCGAUUAGCUAGCUGGUGGGGUAAGAGCCUACCAGGGCGACGAUCGGUAGCUGGUCUGAGAGGACGAGCAGCCACACUGGGAUUGAGAACGGCCCAG
RNAcentral lists this ribosomal RNA (221 nucleotides) under uncultured bacterium. RNAcentral describes it as "partial 16S ribosomal RNA". It matches the Rfam family "Bacterial small subunit ribosomal RNA", at positions 118 to 334 of the family's 1533-position model. The record is from RNAcentral.